This 253-nucleotide ribosomal RNA is filed under the name uncultured bacterium. RNAcentral describes it as "partial 16S ribosomal RNA". It matches the Rfam family "Bacterial small subunit ribosomal RNA", at positions 524 to 776 of the family's 1533-position model. The record is from RNAcentral.
UACGGAGGAUGCAAGCGUUAUCCGGAAUGAUUGGGCGUAAAGCGUCCGCAGGUGGCUAUGUAAGUCUGCUGUUAAAGAGUCUAGCUCAACUAGAUAAAAGCAGUGGAAACUACAAGGCUAAAAUGCGUUCAGGGCAAAGGGAAUUCCUAAUGUAGCGGUGAAAUGCGUAGAUAUCAGGAAGAACACCGGUGGCGAAAGCGCUCUGCUAGGCCGCAACUGACACUGAGGGACGAAAGCUAGGGGAGCGAAUGGG